Molecule: ribosomal RNA, 372 nt
Filed under: uncultured organism
Description: partial 16S ribosomal RNA
Rfam family: Bacterial small subunit ribosomal RNA
Source: RNAcentral
GUAGGUGGCAAGCGUUGUCCGGAAUUAUUGGGCGUAAAGCGCGCGCAGGCGGUUCUUUAAGUCUGAUGUGAAAGCCCACGGGCUCAACCGUGGAGGGUCAUUGGAAACUGGAGAACUUGAGUACAGAAGAGGAAAGCGGAAUUCCACGUGUAGCGGUGAAAUGCGUAGAGAUGUGGAGGAACACCAGUGGCGAAGGCGGCUUACUGGUCUGUAACUGACGCUGAGGCGCGAAAGCGUGGGGAGCAAACAGGAUUAGAUACCCUGGUAGUCCACGCCGUAAACGAUGAGUGCUAAGUGUUAGGGGGUUUCCGCCCCUUAGUGCUGCAGCUAACGCAUUAAGCACUCCGCCUGGGGAGUACGGCCGCAAGGCUG